AGUGAGGAAUUUUGCGCAAUGGGGGCAACCCUGACGCAGCAACGCCGCGUGAGUGAAGAAGGCCUUUGGGUCGUAAAGCUCUGUCAACAAGGAAGAAAUUAGGAUUUAUUAAUAGUGGGUCCUAUUGACGGUACUUGUGGAGGAAGCGCCGGCUAACUCCGUGCCAGCAGCCGCGGUAACACGGGGGGCGCAAGCGUUAUUCGGAAUUAUUGGGCGUAAAGGGCGCGCAGGCGGUCUUGUCCGUCAGGUGUGAAAGCCCGGGGCUCAACCCCGGAAGUGCACUUGAAACAGCAAGACUUGAAUACGGGAGAGGAGAGAGGAAUUCCUGGUGUAGAGGUGAAAUUCGUAGAUAUCAGGAGGAACACCGAUGGCGAAGGCAUCUCUCUGGACCGAUAUUGACGCUGAGGCGCGAAGGCGUGGGUAGCGAACGGGAUUAGAUACCCCGGUAGUCCACGCAGUAAACGUUGUACACUCGGUGUAGCGGAUAUUAAAAUCUGCUGUGCCUAAGCUAACGCAUUAAGUGUACCGCCUGGGAAGUACGGUCGCAAGACUA
Molecule: ribosomal RNA, 553 nt
Filed under: uncultured bacterium
Lineage: Bacteria
Description: bacterial SSU rRNA
Rfam family: Bacterial small subunit ribosomal RNA
Source: RNAcentral